GUCCCAGUAGCUUAUAGUAAAGCAUGGCACUGAAGAUGCCAAGAUGGUUGCCAUACGCAACCCACGGACA
RNAcentral lists this transfer RNA (70 nucleotides) under Haliaeetus albicilla (white-tailed eagle). Its description in RNAcentral is "tRNA-Phe". It matches the Rfam family "tRNA". From Rfam's summary of the family: Transfer RNA (tRNA) molecules are approximately 80 nucleotides in length. Their secondary structure includes four short double-helical elements and three loops (D, anti-codon, and T loops). The record is from RNAcentral. Lineage: Eukaryota; Metazoa; Chordata; Aves; Accipitriformes; Accipitridae.